This 412-nucleotide ribosomal RNA is filed under the name uncultured Glomus. RNAcentral describes it as "SSU rRNA". It matches the Rfam family "Eukaryotic small subunit ribosomal RNA", at positions 569 to 984 of the family's 1831-position model. Lineage: Eukaryota; Fungi; Glomeromycota; Glomeromycetes; Glomerales; Glomeraceae. The record is from RNAcentral.
AGCAGCCGCGGUAAUUCCAGCUCCAAUAGCGUAUAUUAAAGUUGUUGCAGUUAAAAAGCUCGUAGUUGAAUUUCGGGAUCGAUACGUCGGUCGUGCCUUCGGUACGUACUGUCGUCAUCGAUUUCUCCCUUCUGACGAACCAUGAUGUCAUUAAUUUGGUGUUAUGGGAAGUCAGGACUGUUACUUUGAAAAAAUUAGAGUGUUUAAAGCAGGCAUUAGCUUGAAUACAUUAGCAUGGAAUAAUGAAAUAGGACGUUCGAACCUAUUUUGUUGGUUUUUAGGAUCAACGUAAUGAUUAAUAGGGAUAGUUGGGGGCAUUAGUAUUCAAUUGUCAGAGGUGAAAUUCUUGGAUUUAUUGAAGACUAACUACUGCGAAAGCAUUUGCCAAGGAUGUUUUCAUUAAUCAAAGAAC